RNAcentral lists this long non-coding RNA (1793 nucleotides) under Apis mellifera (honey bee). Its description in RNAcentral is "uncharacterized LOC107964218, transcript variant X2". The record is from RNAcentral. Lineage: Eukaryota; Metazoa; Arthropoda; Insecta; Hymenoptera; Apidae.
CACGCCACGAAUAUGCAAAGCGUAAAGAGAAUCAAAUCAUCUACCUUUUGGAAACCGCGAUUGAGAAUCGCACCAAAUGUGGGAUUGACAUGGAAAUAAUAGAUGGCACUGUCGUCGUCAAAUCUACGAACGAAAGAAUUCGCUCGGUGAACCUCUCUAAUCGAAUAAAAAGUAAUCUAAAUAAACAACUUUCUCAAAGAUUUCCUCUCCGCAAUAUCUUCUCGUUUAUUACCGAAAGAACAAAAUCGUUAACGAAAAAUUCCAAAUUAUUAAUUCCUAUGCAAUAUUAUAUAUUAUAUACAAUAAUAUUAUUAUACAAUGGUGAUUCGAGUUCAAAACCGUUUUCUAAUAUUUUUUUAUUCGAACAAUAAUUCGUAACAAUGAAUUAAACAACAGUGGUCGAAGCAGUUUAUUAUUGAUUAUCCGCAGGAAAUUAAAUAAAUACAAGCUGGAAUUAUUGGAGAAUUCAGAAGCGAAGUGAAGAAAUGUAUUAUCUCGCGCCAUUUAUCGAUCACGUCGUUUGUCCCGGAACGGACUUCUUUUCGAAUGUUCCAGAAAUGUUUUCCAUCUCUCCGUACACGUUAUUUCACAGCAAUGGAAUUUUCCUUUGGAAUAAUCUACAUACGAAGCUUUUGUUUGAACAAACUGAAUGGAUUAACGAGAGCAACAGCUGUAUAAAUGAUGGUGAAUCGAUGCAAUCCUCCUCGGGUUUUACCUCGAGGAAACUCGACGAAGAAGAAAUAAACAUUUUAUCUUAAAUGAGAAAUAUCUUAUCGCCGAUGGAACAUUUCUUCGUGUUUUAAUUUAAACAUUUCUCGAUUGGAGGUUUCAGGUCGAAUUAUGUGGGUUAAGAUUGUAUCCCAUUGACGAGGAAGAGGAUUUUCAGGAAUUUCACUUACGUUCUUCCCGUUUUCGAAAUCCGAACGACGAGUCUGAAUAACCGUCGCACCUCGACUUUCACCUCGGCGAGAUUUUUACCGCCUCUCGAGUGGAAAAUUAAGUUAUCGAGAGGCGAAUGACAGAUUACGAUUACAAAAUUUUUGCCAAAAACUUGCCAAUGCUGAAACUUUAUCUACAACAGACGCUUUUAAAUUAAUCUCUGCUUUUGGCACGAAAUGAACUUUAAAGGAAAUUUUACGAUUGAAAGUUAAAAAUUAAUCAAUAUGCAUUUCGUCCGAGAAAUUCAUAAUUGUGUAAUAUAUAGAUAAAAUGAAGUUGUGCUAUAUCAUGCUACAAUAAGAACGAUUUGCUUGCAUAUCGUUUUGAAGGAAAGUCGAAUGAAUCGGUUUAAGGAUGAUGGAAAAAUCAUAAACAUGAAAGUAGAACGAAGAAUGUAUGUAAAAUUUUUAAUAAUGGUUAAACUCGAUUCAUCGCAAGGCAUUCGUCGUUGCAGACUGUUGAAUGAUUCAUUUAAAUCCUUUCGUUCGAUCCUAGACCUUGAAUAAACGGAAGAAAAAUGCACAACCGAGAUAUUGAAUCUAAAGAUUACAAGAAAUUCUGUGUAAAGUACCGUUUCUUGUUCCUUGUAUAUAUAUAUAUUGUAUUAUCUUUAAUUAUCUUUUUCUGAAAUUGAUAUGGGCAAAAAAAGAUGGUGAUUACUUGCACAACGCAAUAAGUGCCGUUAUCUCUUGAUUUAUUUACAACCUUGUCACUGUAAAUGGCACCAUUGAACUUUUAUAAAUAAUACGAAGUUUAAACUUCACUUGUUAUCUAACUUCUUAUCUAAAAAAGAAAUUUUUAUUUUAUUUUAAAAUGAAUUAUUCGAAAUUCGUAGAUAUAAAUCAUUACUUAUA